GCGGUCGCUCCUAUAAUGCAGUCGACGAACUCUGGUAUUGAUUGGUGCUUGCAUCAUGAUUUACAUUUGAGUGAGUGGCGAACUGGUGAGUAACACGUGGGAAACCUGCCCAGAAGCGGGGGAUAACACCUGGAAACAGAUGCUAAUACCGCAUAACAACUUGGACCGCAUGGUCCGAGCUUGAAAGAUGGCUUCGGCUAUCACUUUUGGAUGGUCCCGCGGCGUAUUAGCUAGAUGGUGGGGUAACGGCUCACCAUGGCAAUGAUACGUAGCCGACCUGAGAGGGUAAUCGGCCACAUUGGGACUGAGACACGGCCCAAACUCCUACGGGAGGCAGCAGUAGGGAAUCUUCCACAAUGGACGAAAGUCUGAUGGAGCAACGCCGCGUGAGUGAAGAAGGGUUUCGGCUCGUAAAACUCUGUUGUUAAAGAAGAACAUAUCUGAGAGUAACUGUUCAGGUAUUGACGGUAUUUAACCAGAAAGCCACGGCUAACUACGUGCCAGCAGCCGCGGUAAUACGUAGGUGGCAAGCGUUGUCCGGAUUUAUUGGGCGUAAAGCGAGCGCAGGCGGUUUUUUAAGUCUGAUGUGAAAGCCUUCGGCUCAACCGAAGAAGUGCAUCGGAAACUGGGAAACUUGAGUGCAGAAGAGGACAGUGGAACUCCAUGUGUAGCGGUGAAAUGCGUAGAUAUAUGGAAGAACACCAGUGGCGAAGGCGGCUGUCUGGUCUGUAACUGACGCUGAGGCUCGAAAGUAUGGGUAGCAACAGGAUUAGAUACCCUGGUAGUCCAUACCGUAAACGAUGAAUGCUAAGUGUUGGAGGGUUUCCGCCCUUCAGUGCUGCAGCUAACGCAUUAAGCAUUCCGCCUGGGGAGUACGGCCGCAAGGCUGAAACUCAAAGGAAUUGACGGGGGCCCGCACAAGCGGUGGAGCAUGUGGUUUAAUUCGAAGCUACGCGAAGAACCUUACCAGGUCUUGACAUACUAUGCAAAUCUAGAGAUUAGACGUUCCCUUUCGGGGACAUGGAUACAGGUGUGCAUGGUGUCGUCAGCUCGUGUCGUGAGAUGUGGUAGUCCCGCACGAGCGCACCCUUAUUAUCAGUGCAGCAUAGUGGGCACUCUGGUGAGACUGCGGUGACAACCGGAGAAGGUGGGGA
This 1154-nucleotide ribosomal RNA is filed under the name Lactiplantibacillus plantarum. RNAcentral's name for it is "bacterial SSU rRNA". It matches the Rfam family "Bacterial small subunit ribosomal RNA", at positions 39 to 1179 of the family's 1533-position model. Lineage: Bacteria; Bacillati; Bacillota; Bacilli; Lactobacillales; Lactobacillaceae. The record is from RNAcentral.